UACGUAGGGGGCUAGCGUUGUCCGGAAUCAUUGGGCGUAAAGCGCGUGUAGGCGGCCCGGUAAGUCCGCUGUGAAAGUCCAGGGCUCAACCCUGGGAUGCCGGUGGAUACUGUCGGGCUCGAGUCCGGAAGAGGCGAGUGGAAUUCCUGGUGUAGCGGUGAAAUGCGCAGAUAUCAGGAGGAACACCAAUGGCGAAGGCAGCUCGCUGGGACGUGACUGACGCUGAGACGCGAAAGCCAGGGGAGCAAACGGG
This 253-nucleotide ribosomal RNA is filed under the name uncultured bacterium. RNAcentral describes it as "partial 16S ribosomal RNA". It matches the Rfam family "Bacterial small subunit ribosomal RNA", at positions 524 to 776 of the family's 1533-position model. The record is from RNAcentral.